Molecule: ribosomal RNA, 227 nt
Filed under: uncultured eukaryote
Lineage: Eukaryota
Description: partial 18S ribosomal RNA
Rfam family: Eukaryotic small subunit ribosomal RNA
Source: RNAcentral
GGAAAUCUCACCAGGCCCGGACACUGGAAGGAUUGACAUAUUGAUAGCUCUUUCUUGAUUCGGUGGGUGGUGGUGCAUGGCCGUUCUUAGUUGGUGGAGUGAUUUGUCUGGUUAAUUCCGAUAACGAACGAGACUCUGUCCUGCUAAAUAGUGUCAGCCUCUCUUCUGGGCUGACAAUUCUUCUUAGAGGGACUGGCGGCUCCUAGCCGCACGAGAUAGAGCAAUAA